This 1420-nucleotide ribosomal RNA is filed under the name metagenome. RNAcentral's name for it is "bacterial LSU rRNA". It matches the Rfam family "Bacterial large subunit ribosomal RNA", at positions 1527 to 2925 of the family's 2925-position model. The record is from RNAcentral.
CAGGACCAGGUAAAUCCGGGCCUCAUAAACUCUGAGACGUGAUACCGAGCCGCUUCAGGCGAAGUCAUUGAUCCUAUGCUGCCUAGAAAAGCCCAGCAGCGAGUUGACAUGGUGCCCGUACCCCAAACCAACACAGGUGGACAGGUAGAGCAUACCAAGGCGAGUGGGAUAACUAUGGUUAAGGAACUCGGCAAAUUGCCUCCGUAACUUCGGGAGAAGGAGGACCCCAGUAGCGUGAUGAGACUUGCUCUCUGAGCGUGAAGGGGUGGCACAAAAUUGAGGGAAGCGACUGUUUACCAAAAACACAGCAGCGUGCUAAGCCGUAAGGCGCUGUAUACGCUGUGACUCCUGCCCGGUGCUGGAAGGUUACGGGGAUGGGUUAGUCCUUCGGGACGAAGCUCUGAACCUAAGCCCCAGUAAACGGCGGCCGUAACUAUAACGGUCCUAAGGUAGCGAAAUUCCUUGUCGGGUAAGUUCCGACCUGCACGAAUGGAGUAACGACUUCCCUAUUGUCUCAACCAUAGACCCAGCGAAAUUGAAGUACGAGUAAAGAUGCUCGUUAGCUGCAGAAGGACGGAAAGACCCCGUGGACCUUUACUAUAACUUGAUGUUGUGUUUUGUCAUAUGUUGUGUAGGAUAGGUGGGAGACUUGGAAGCAUGGACGCUAGUCUGUGUGGAGUCAUCGUUGAAAUACCACCCUGCAUAUGGUGAGGCUCUAACCUAGACCCGUUAUCCGGGUUGGGGACAGCGUCAGGCGGGUAGUUUAACUGGGGCGGUUGCCUCCUAAAGAGUAACGGAGGCGCCCAAAGGUUCCCUCAGCCUGGUUGGCAAUCAGGCGUUGAGUGCAAUGGCAAAAGGGAGCUUGACUGCGAGACCUACAAGUCGAGCAGGAGCGAAAGCUGGGCAUAGUGAUCCGGCGGUUGCGUGUGGAAGCGCCGUCGCUCAACGGAUAAAAGGUACCCCGGGGAUAACAGGCUAAUCUUGCCCAAGCGUCCAUAGCGACGGCAAGGUUUGGCACCUCGAUGUCGGCUCAUCGCAUCCUGGGGCUGAAGCAGGUCCCAAGGGUUGGGCUGUUCGCCCAUUAAAGCGGUACGCGAGCUGGGUUCAGAACGUCGUGAGACAGUUCGGUCCCUAUCCUCUGCAGCCGGAGGUGAAUUGAGGAAAGCUGUCCCUAGUACGAGAGGACCGGGACGGACGCAGCUCUCGUGUGCCAGUUGUCCUGCCAAGGGCAUGGCUGGUUAGCGACCUGCGGAAAGGAUAACCGCUGAAAGCAUCUAAGCGGGAAGCCUCUUCCAAGAUGAAUUCACCCACAGGGUUAACCUGGUAAGGCCCGUGGUAGACCACCACGUUGAUAGGCCGGAAGUGUAAGCGUGGCAACACGUUCAGCUGACCGGUACUAAUCGGCCGAGGGCUUGAGUUC